Molecule: ribosomal RNA, 253 nt
Filed under: uncultured bacterium
Lineage: Bacteria
Description: partial 16S ribosomal RNA
Rfam family: Bacterial small subunit ribosomal RNA
Source: RNAcentral
UACAGAGGGUGCGAGCGUUGUCCGGAAUCACUGGGCGUAAAGGGCGCGUAGGCGGCUCGGUAAGCGUGCGGUGAAAGCCCGGGGCUCAACCCCGGGUCGGCCGUGCGAACUGCGGAGCUGGAGCACUGUAGAGGCAGGUGGAAUUCCGGGUGUAGCGGUGGAAUGCGUAGAGAUCCGGAAGAACACCCGUGGCGAAGGCGGCUCUCUGGGACGGUACUGACGCUGAGACGCGAAAGCGUGGGGAGCGAACAGG